RNAcentral lists this ribosomal RNA (520 nucleotides) under Epicoccum nigrum. Its description in RNAcentral is "eukaryotic LSU rRNA". The stretch from base 147 to 300 matches the Rfam family "5.8S ribosomal RNA". Lineage: Eukaryota; Fungi; Ascomycota; Dothideomycetes; Pleosporales; Didymellaceae. The record is from RNAcentral.
GGGCUUCUGAGCUGUAGACUUCGGUCUGCUACCUCUUACCCAUGUCUUUUGAGUACCUUCGUUUCCUCGGCGGGUCCGCCCGCCGAUUGGACAACAUUCAAACCCUUUGCAGUUGCAAUCAGCGUCUGAAAAAACAUAAUAGUUACAACUUUCAACAACGGAUCUCUUGGUUCUGGCAUCGAUGAAGAACGCAGCGAAAUGCGAUAAGUAGUGUGAAUUGCAGAAUUCAGUGAAUCAUCGAAUCUUUGAACGCACAUUGCGCCCCUUGGUAUUCCAUGGGGCAUGCCUGUUCGAGCGUCAUUUGUACCUUCAAGCUCUGCUUGGUGUUGGGUGUUUGUCUCGCCUCUGCGUGUAGACUCGCCUUAAAACAAUUGGCAGCCGGCGUAUUGAUUUCGGAGCGCAGUACAUCUCGCGCUUUGCACUCACAACGACGACGUCCAAAAGUACAUUUUUACACUCUUGACCUCGGAUCAGGUAGGGAUACCCGCUGAACUUAAGCAUAUCAAUAAGCGGAGGAGGA